GAAGAACGAUCGGCGCGUGCUUAACACAUGCAAGUCGAACGGAAAGGCCUCUUUCGGGGGGUACUCGAGUGGCGAACGGGUGAGUAACACGUGAGUAACCUGCCCUUGACUUUGGGAUAACUUCAGGAAACUGGGGCUGAUACCGGAUAGGAGCUCCUGCUGCAUGGUGGGGGUUGGAAAGUUUCGGCGGUUGGGGAUGGACUCGCGGCUGAUCAGCUUGUUGGUGGGGUAGUGGCUUACCAAGGCUUUGACGGGUAGCCGGCCUGAGAGGGUGACCGGCCACAUUGGGACUGAGAUACGGCCCAGACUCCUACGGGAGGCAGCAGUGGGGAAUAUUGCACAAUGGGUGGAAGCCUGAUGCAGCAACGCCGUGUGCGGGAUGACGGCCUUCGGGUUGUAAACCGCUUUCGCUCAUGACGAAGCUUUGUGUGACGGUAGUGGGUAAAGAAGCACCGGCUAACUACGUG
RNAcentral lists this ribosomal RNA (467 nucleotides) under uncultured bacterium. Its description in RNAcentral is "partial 16S ribosomal RNA". It matches the Rfam family "Bacterial small subunit ribosomal RNA", at positions 28 to 507 of the family's 1533-position model. The record is from RNAcentral.